This 484-nucleotide ribosomal RNA is filed under the name uncultured bacterium. RNAcentral describes it as "bacterial SSU rRNA". It matches the Rfam family "Bacterial small subunit ribosomal RNA", at positions 327 to 805 of the family's 1533-position model. The record is from RNAcentral.
AACCGAGAACUCCUACGGGAGGCAGCAGUGGGGAAUUUUGGACAAUGGGGGCAACCCUGAUCCAGCAAUGCCGCGUGAGUGAAGAAGGCCUUCGGGUUGUAAAGCUCUUUGUCAGGGAAGAAACGGUAGUAGCUAAUAUCUAUUACUAAUGACGGUACCUGAAGAAUAAGCACCGGCUAACUACGUGCCAGCAGCCGCGGUAAUACGUAGGGUGCAAGCGUUAAUCGGAAUUACUGGGCGUAAAGCGUGCGCAGGCGGUUGUGUAAGUCAGAUGUGAAAUCCCCGGGCUCAACCUGGGAAUUGCAUUUGGGACUGGACGGCUAGAGUGUGUCAGAGGGGGGUAGAAUUCCACGUGUAGCAGUGAAAUGCGUAGAUAUGUGGAGGAAUACCGAUGGCGAAGGCAGCCCCCUGGGAUAACACUGACGCUCAUGCACGAAAGCGUGGGGAGCAAACAGGAUUAGAUACCCGUGUAGUCCGACUGAGA